GAUAAAUAUAAAAAUGUUAUCGAUCUGUGGAGUUUAAUACACUUGUUUUGUACUUUACAGUAUAUAUAGUAAUUAUUGCACGUUGUAAUUUCGAUAUUUUUUAAACAAAAUAAAUUCAUUCAUACAGCGUGUAUAAGGCAAUUUAAAUAAACGAAGUUUAUUGGUAUAAUUAAUCUCCAGGGCUUUGGUCGUAAGGCAGCACUUUUCUAGCCUGCGAACGGGCUCUCAAGCUGAAUUGAGAGCCUGCAUCGAUGACUAAUGAAUUUGAAUAUCUGCCCCGUAACGUUCGUUUUUCCAAAUAUGGAAUGUAUAUCCUUAUAUGGUGUUGUUUACAACUUUCGUGCAAACUAAAUUUAGACCGUGCAAACUAAAUUUAGACCGUACAGUUUAUACUGUUUUUCGAAAUAUAAGAUAUUGAAGCAAAAGUUCAAAUGUUUUAAAUACUGUUUUCUCAAAACAGAACAGUUCGUGCUUUGAGAUAAGAUGGUCAAGACCAAUUUGAUCAGUUAAUGUGUUUUUUAUGCAUAGUGCUUCAGCAGUUGACAUAUAUAGAGCUCAGCGGAAACAUAUAAAUUAUAGCAUCUGACCAAUGAGAAUUUCGCGUCACGAUUUGAGACGCAGAUAUUCAAAUUCAUUGGUCAUCGAUGCAGGCUCGCAAUUCAGCUUGAGAGCCUGUUCGCAGGCUAGCACUUCCCUUGCGAUAGUAACUUCUAGUUUAAAUAAUAAUUAGCUACCUUUUUAAAGUGACGUCAUAUAUAUUUAUACAGCAAUAGAAGCAAAACUUACUGAACUUCAGACAUCAUUUUCUCUUUGGCAUACCAUCUAAAAUCUCUUCGUUUUAGGAUUAAUUUACAGAUAAAGCACUAAACAUACUUUUUAAGUCUGUUUGCCACUUUGCCACUUGAGAAACGUUCAAAAAUCUAAAAAAUUUAAUAUUGUCAAGUGGAAAAGUAUAUUCAUGAGUUUUGAGCGGCGAGCGCGUGUUACGU
This is a non-coding RNA of Paramuricea clavata, 989 nucleotides long. The record is from the annotation of a GenBank genome assembly. Lineage: Eukaryota; Metazoa; Cnidaria; Anthozoa; Malacalcyonacea; Plexauridae.